Molecule: ribosomal RNA, 497 nt
Filed under: uncultured bacterium
Lineage: Bacteria
Description: partial 16S ribosomal RNA
Rfam family: Bacterial small subunit ribosomal RNA
Source: RNAcentral
GACGAACGCUGGCGGCGUGCCUAAUACAUGCAAGUUGAGCGCUGAAAGUUGGUGCUUGUUCCGACUGGAUUAGCGGCGAACGGGUGAGUAACACGUGGGGAAUCUGCCUUUGAGCGGGGGACAACAUCUGGAAACGAAUGCUAAUACCGCAUAAAAACUUUAAACACAAGUUUUAAGAUUGAAAGAUGCAAUUGCAUCACUCAAUAAUGAUCCCGCGUUGUAUUAACUUGUUGGUUAGGUAAAGGCUCAACAAAGCGAUGAUACAUAGCCGACCUGGGAAGGUGAUCGGCCAACUUGGGACUGAGACACGGCCCAAGCCUCUACGGGAGGGAGCAGGAGGGGAUCUUCGGCAAUUGACGGAAGUCUGAACGGGCAAAGGCGCGGGAGUGGAGAAGGGUCUCGGGUCGUAAAAACCCGUUUGUAGGGAAGAAAGUAAGGUGGAGUGGACAGCGCACGUAGUGACGGUAACUACCCAGAAAGGCACGGCUAACUACGUG